GAAUUCGCCCUUAGAGUUUUUUCCUGGCUCAGGACGAACGCUGGCGGCGCGCCUAACACAUGCAAGUCGAACGAGCGAGAGGAGGUUUACUUUCUCAAGCGAGUGGCGAACGGGUGAGUAACGCGUGAGGAACCUGCCUCAAAGAGGGGGACAACAGUUGGAAACGACUGCUAAUACCGCAUAAGCCCACGACCCGGCAUCGGGUAGAGGGAAAAGGAGCAAUCCGCUUUGAGAUGGCCUCGCGUCCGAUUAGCUAGUUGGUGAGGUAAUGGCCCACCAAGGCGACGAUCGGUAGCCGGACUGAGAGGUUGAACGGCCACAUUGGGACUGAGACACGGCCCAGACUCCUACGGGAGGCAGCAGUGGGGAAUAUUGCACAAUGGGGGAAACCCUGAUGCAGCGACGCCGCGUGGAGGAAGAAGGUCUUCGGAUUGUAAACUCCUGUUGUUGAGGAAGAUAAUGACGGUACCCAACAAGGAAGUGACGGCUAACUACGUGCCAGCAGCCGCGGUAAAACGUAGGUCACAAGCGUUGUCCGGAAUUACUGGGUGUAAAGGGAGCGCAGGCGGGAAGACAAGUUGGAAGUGAAAUCUAUGGGCUCAACCCAUAAACUGCUUUCAAAACUGUUUUUCUUGAGUAGUGCAGAGGUAGGCGGAAUUCCCGGUGUAGCGGUGGAAUGCGUAGAUAUCGGGAGGAACACCAGUGGCGAAGGCGGCCUACUGGGCACCAACUGACGCUGAGGCUCGAAAGUGUGGGUAGCAAACAGGAUUAGAUACCCUGGUAGUCCACACCGUAAACGAUG
RNAcentral lists this ribosomal RNA (802 nucleotides) under uncultured bacterium. Its description in RNAcentral is "bacterial SSU rRNA". It matches the Rfam family "Bacterial small subunit ribosomal RNA", at positions 1 to 811 of the family's 1533-position model. The record is from RNAcentral.